Molecule: ribosomal RNA, 352 nt
Filed under: uncultured Acidobacteriota bacterium
Lineage: Bacteria; Pseudomonadati; Acidobacteriota
Description: bacterial SSU rRNA
Rfam family: Bacterial small subunit ribosomal RNA
Source: RNAcentral
GAUCCUGGCUCAGAAUCAACGCUGGCGGCGUGCCUAAUACAUGCAAGUCGAACGCGAAGACCCCGCAAGGGGUUUGUAGCGUGGCAAACGGGUGAGCAACGCGUGGGCGACCUACCUUCGAGUGGGGGAUAACCUUCCGAAAGGAGGGCUAAUACCGCAUGACAUGCUCUGUUUAGAUACAGGGACAUCAAAGCCGGGGAUCGCAAGACCUGGCGCUUGACGCGGGGCCUACGUCCGAUUAGCUAGUUGGUGGGGUAAUGGCUCACCAAGGCUUCGAUCGGUAUCCGGCCUGAGAGGGCGGACGGACACACUGGGACUGAGACACGGCCCAGACUCCUACGGGAGGCAGCAG